RNAcentral lists this microRNA precursor (67 nucleotides) under Mus musculus (house mouse). Its description in RNAcentral is "Mmu-Mir-1958_pre stem-loop". The record is from RNAcentral. Lineage: Eukaryota; Metazoa; Chordata; Mammalia; Rodentia; Muridae.
UUACUGCUUCCACUUUCCUAUAGUUUAAUUUCUAACUGCAUUCUAUAGGAAAGUGGAAGCAGUAAGU